UUGAUUAAUGUGGAGGAAUAUAACUAGUACUAAUAUUAUCAUCUUUCUUAUUUUACACCAUCCAGAACUGUUAUUUAUAUAUAUUUAUUUAUUUAUAUUUCAAAUGGGGAAACAAAUUCAGUUUCAGGACCUUAGGGUAAAGAGAAAGCAUGUAUACUCAACUAAUCUUGCCAAUCCUAUUGAUGGGAUUGGUCAUAAAAUAAUAGAUGGAGUUCAUAAUGCAAAGUCACUAAUUCUAUCGACUAUCAAGUAUCAACAAUAAGACUUACAAUUAAACCUAACGGUUAACAUGACUGCAAAAUCCAGAGUUCUGCCUGAGCUCAGAUCUUUCACUACUUUCUAACUUAAAAUAUAAUCAAAACAAAC
RNAcentral lists this long non-coding RNA (366 nucleotides) under Androctonus crassicauda. The record is from RNAcentral. Lineage: Eukaryota; Metazoa; Arthropoda; Arachnida; Scorpiones; Buthidae.